GAGGAAUAAGCAUCGGCUAACUCCGUGCCAGCAGCCGCGGUAAUACGGGGGAUGCAAGCGUUAUCCGGAAUCAUUGGGCGUAAAGCGCCUGUAGGUGGUUUAAUAAGUCUGUUGUUAAAGACUAGGGCUUAACCCUAGGAAAGCAAUGGAAACUAAUAGACUAGAGUAUGGCAGGGGUAGAGGGAAUUUCUAGUGUAGCGGUGAAAUGCGUAGAUAUUAGAAAGAACACCAGUGGCGAAAGCGCUCUACUGGACCAUUACUGACACUCAGAGGCGAAAGCUAGGGUAGCAAAAGGGAUUAGAUACCCCUGUAGUCCUAGCCGUAAACGAUGGAUACUAGAUGUUGUGUUUUCUCACAGUGUCGCAGCUAACGCGUUAAGUAUCCCGCCUGGGGAGUACGCUCGCAAGGGUGAAACUCAAAGGAAUUGACGGGGGCCCGCACAAGCGGUGGAGCAUGUGGUUUAAUUCGAUGCAACGCGAAGAACCUUACCAGGGCUUGACAUACUGCAGAUCUUUUUGAGAAAGAAGAGUGCCUUCGGGAAUGCAGAUACAGGUGGUGCAUGGCUGUCGUCAGCUCGUGUCGUGAGAUGUUGGGUUAAGUCCCGCAACGAGCGCAACCCUUAUUUUUAGUUACCAACUUGUUGGGUUCUCUAGAAAGACUGCCGGUGACAAACCGGAGGAAGGUGAGGAUGACGUCAAGUCAGCAUGCCCCUUAUGUCCUGGGCUACACACGUGCUACAAUGGUUAAGACAAAGAGUCGCGAGUUCGUGAGAACCAGCUAAUCUCGUAAACUUAGCCUAAGUUCAGAUUGUAGGCUGCAACUCGCCUAGGCAUGAAG
RNAcentral lists this ribosomal RNA (837 nucleotides) under Haptophyta environmental samples. RNAcentral's name for it is "bacterial SSU rRNA". It matches the Rfam family "Bacterial small subunit ribosomal RNA", at positions 481 to 1325 of the family's 1533-position model. The record is from RNAcentral. Lineage: Eukaryota; Haptophyta.